RNAcentral lists this transfer RNA (72 nucleotides) under Cricetulus griseus (Chinese hamster). It matches the Rfam family "tRNA". Rfam says of the family: Transfer RNA (tRNA) molecules are approximately 80 nucleotides in length. Lineage: Eukaryota; Metazoa; Chordata; Mammalia; Rodentia; Cricetidae. The record is from Rfam by way of RNAcentral.
GCCUGGCUGGCUCAGUCAGUAGAGCAUGAGACUCUUAAUCUCAGGGACAUGGGUUCAUGCCCACAUUAGGUG